AAAAUGAUGGUUACAUCUUGACUGUGGAGGAAAAAUAGAGUAAAUAUAGAGGUAUGUAAUGUAAGCAGUGAAAGCGCAGAAGUUAGGGCUAAACCUCAGUUAAUGUAUAGGUGAAGUAAAUAUUUUAAGUGAAGUUAGGGCUAGCUAUGGUUGGUGUAGAUGUGAGUAAGGUGAAUAUUGUUAGUGGAGACAGUAGGGUCUGUCUUUGUUUGUGUAGAAGUGUGCAAGGUAAGCAUUGAAAAUGAGGCAGGUAGGAUUGUUUUUGAUUAGUACAGAGGUGUGUAAGGUAAAAAGGAGAAGUACUGCCUUUGAAUGUCUUUAUAUGUAAUGAAGUAUAGUCAAGAUUGGAGAGAUACCUUUAUGGCAAACCAUGAUAGGGUAUAUAAAGCAGGGCUACUCUGGGUAGUACAGAGAUGUUUAGUAAAUGUUGGUAGAACAAGCAGGGUAAGGUUGGCACCGUGUGUAUAAUAAAGUGUACAGUAUUUAUAGGAAACUAAAAUGGUGGUGGCAGAAGUGAUAGUAAGAUUGAUAACGACUAUCCUUGCUGUAUAAUUACUGUCACAGUAAAUGGGAAGAGGAAUAUAUUUUACUUUGUCUAAGCCAAAUUUCCUAAUUUCAGUUCUGUAAAAUCUCCAAACAUGGUUUUAUUCAUUAGAACUAUAAUAUUAGCUGUGGUACCUUUGAAACUUGUAUUAGCUAUGUGCUUCUUUGAAACACGUUUUCUAUAUGUUUUAUAUAUGUGGUGUGUGGCUGGGUGUGACUAAGUGAAAAAUCUGAAGUAAAUUUUAUCCCUAAAAUACUGCUUUUUGACAAUCUAAAUUUAGUUGUUUCCACUGGUAACAUAUAUAUAAUUUAUAUUGUCUUGUAAUUCUUCGGUUGAACAUAGCUGCAUAUAUGUAUAUGUGUGUGUGUGUGUGUGUGUGUCUGUGUGAUUUUUGUAUUUGUUGAUGAGAGAAAGAGAGAAACAAACAGACAGGGGAAGAUCAGACGAAUCUGUUGUCAUUUAAAAAAUGAAAUUUUUUUUUACCAAGAUUUGACUCAGGGGAUGGCAGAGAAAAUAGAGUAAAAAACUGCUGGAAUUUGGCAUUUAUUUUCAGAACUUUUCUUCUCUCUCUCUCUCUCUCUCUCUUAAAAAAGAGAGAGGGAGAGAAGUAAGAAAGAGAGAGGGAGAGAG
Molecule: long non-coding RNA, 1174 nt
Filed under: Octopus sinensis (East Asian common octopus)
Lineage: Eukaryota; Metazoa; Mollusca; Cephalopoda; Octopoda; Octopodidae
Description: uncharacterized LOC118764778, transcript variant X1
Source: RNAcentral